UUUAGGGAGACCUACCCUUGAUAACUCCGAACCAUUGUUAUUAGGAGUAUCGAGCGGUCACUCUAGGUCGGUCAGGACUUUGAGUCGAGUUUCUAGACUAUGGUUGAGGUUUUGUUUAACCAACAGAACCCGGGCUAUUAGCUCAGGUGGUUAGAGCGCACCCCUGAUAAGGGUGAGGUCCCUGGUUCGAGUCCAGGAUGGCCCACUGCGUGGGGGUUUAGCUCAGUUGGUAGAGCGCCUGCUUUGCAAGCAGGAUGUCAGCGGUUCGAGUCCGCUAACCUCCACCACGAAAGGACGGAUUGAAUUCAGCACAGUAUGUGUUUCUUGAAUUAUCAAGAGGAUACAUAGUCUGCUGGGUGAGAGCCCGGCUAAGAACCUUGACAACUGAAUAGUGAGAGAAGUGUAAGGUAGUACACACAGAACAUUCAAAGUUCGUUGAGAGAAGAGUGAAUUUUGUUGGGUAACACCAAUGAAAGGAAGGUCAAGCUA
RNAcentral lists this transfer RNA (489 nucleotides) under Leptolyngbya sp. KIOST-1. RNAcentral describes it as "16S-23S ribosomal RNA intergenic spacer". The stretch from base 212 to 284 matches the Rfam family "tRNA". Lineage: Bacteria; Bacillati; Cyanobacteriota; Cyanophyceae; Leptolyngbyales; Leptolyngbyaceae. The record is from RNAcentral.